CUGGAGGUAUCAGAAGUGCGAAUGCUGACAUAAGUAACGAUAAAGCGGGUGAAAAGCCCGCUCGCCGGAAGACCAAGGGUUCCUGUCCAACGUUAAUCGGGGCAGGGUGAGUCGACCCCUAAGGCGAGGCCGAAAGGCGUAGUCGAUGGGAAACGGGUUAAUAUUCCCGUACUUGGUGUUACUGCGAAGGGGGGACGGAGAAGGCUAUGUUGGCCGGGCGACGGUUGUCCCGGUUUAAGCGUGUAGGUGUGUGUUCCAGGUAAAUCCGGUUCACUUUAACACUGAGGCGUGAUGACGAGGCACUACGGUGCUGAAGCAACAAAUGCCCUGCUUCCAGGAAAAGCCUCUAAGCAUCAGGUAACAUCAAAUCGUACCCCAAACCGACACAGGUGGUCAGGUAGAGAAUACCAAGGCGCUUGAGAGAACUCGGGUGAAGGAACUAGGCAAAAUGGUGCCGUAACUUCGGGAGAAGGCACGCUGACACGUAGGUGAAGUGAUUUACUCAUGGAGCUGAAGUCAGUCGAAGAUACCAGCUGGCUGCAACUGUUUAUUAAAAACACAGCACUGUGCAAACACGAAAGUGGACGUAUACGGUGUGACGCCUGCCCGGUGCCGGAAGGUUAAUUGAUGGGGUCAGCGCAAGCGAAGCUCCUGAUCGAAGCCCCGGUAAACGGCGGCCGUAACUAUAACGGUCCUAAGGUAGCGAAAUUCCUUGUCGGGUAAGUUCCGACCUGCACGAAUGGCGUAAUGAUGGCCAGGCUGUCUCCACCCGAGACUCAGUGAAAUUGAACUCGCUGUGAAGAUGCAGUGUACCCGCGGCAAGACGGAAAGACCCCGUGAACCUUUACUAUAGCUUGACACUGAACAUUGAGCCUUGAUGUGUAGGAUAGGUGGGAGGCUUUGAAGUGUGGACGCCAGUCUGCAUGGAGCCGACCUUGAAAUACCACCCUUUAAUGUUUGAUGUUCUAACGUGGACCCGUGAUCCGGGUUGCGGACAGUGUCUGGUGGGUAGUUUGACUGGGGCGGUCUCCUCCUAAAGAGUAACGGAGGAGCACGAAGGUUGGCUAAUCCUGGUCGGACAUCAGGAGGUUAGUGCAAUGGCAUAAGCCAGCUUGACUGCGAGCGUGACGGCGCGAGCAGGUGCGAAAGCAGGUCAUAGUGAUCCGGUGGUUCUGAAUGGAAGGGCCAUCGCUCAACGGAUAAAAGGUACUCCGGGGAUAACAGGCUGAUACCGCCCAAGAGUUCAUAUCGACGGCGGUGUUUGGCACCUCGAUGUCGGCUCAUCACAUCCUGGGGCUGAAGUAGGUCCCAAGGGUAUGGCUGUUCGCCAUUUAAAGUGGUACGCGAGCUGGGUUUAGAACGUCGUGAGACAGUUCGGUCCCUAUCUGCCGUGGGCGCUGGAGAACUGAGGGGGGCUGCUCCUAGUACGAGAGGACCGGAGUGGACGCAUCACUGGUGUUCGGGUUGUCAUGCCAAUGGCACUGCCCGGUAGCUAAAUGCGGAAGAGAUAAGUGCUGAAAGCAUCUAAGCACGAAACUUGCCCCGA
RNAcentral lists this ribosomal RNA (1546 nucleotides) under Salmonella enterica. RNAcentral describes it as "partial 23S ribosomal RNA". It matches the Rfam family "Bacterial large subunit ribosomal RNA", at positions 1273 to 2802 of the family's 2925-position model. The record is from RNAcentral. Lineage: Bacteria; Pseudomonadati; Pseudomonadota; Gammaproteobacteria; Enterobacterales; Enterobacteriaceae. RNAcentral also lists the same sequence under 8 other names.